RNAcentral lists this transfer RNA (73 nucleotides) under Capra hircus (goat). It matches the Rfam family "tRNA". From Rfam's summary of the family: Transfer RNA (tRNA) molecules are approximately 80 nucleotides in length. Their secondary structure includes four short double-helical elements and three loops (D, anti-codon, and T loops). RNAcentral also lists the same sequence under 1 other name. The record is from Rfam by way of RNAcentral. Lineage: Eukaryota; Metazoa; Chordata; Mammalia; Artiodactyla; Bovidae.
UCCCUGGCAGUCCAGUGGUUAGAACUCAGCACUUUCACUGCUGUGGGUCUGGGUUAGAUUCCUGGUCUGGGAU